Molecule: long non-coding RNA, 1349 nt
Filed under: Chrysemys picta bellii (western painted turtle)
Lineage: Eukaryota; Metazoa; Chordata; Testudines; Emydidae
Description: lncRNA (ENSCPBG00000028176.1)
Source: RNAcentral
CGGGCGGGUCGGUGGCUGUGCGGUGCCGGUACCAGACGGGUUAUGAGAGUUAUCACAAGUUCUGGUGCCGGGCAGGAGGAGGUUUGUUAGAAGGUUUGGUAGAAGGUUGGAGCUGUUCCAACGGUCACAUCGUUGAGACCGAUGGGUCGGAGGCGGAGGUGAUGGGGGACAGAGUCUCCAUCCGAGACAAUCACACCCAGCGCGUGUUCACUGUGACCCUGGACAACCUGACACGGGCAGACGCCGGCACGUACCACUGCGGGGUAGAGAGAACUGGGCUUCCUGAUCUCAGGGACACUGUGGAAGUCACCGUCUCCCCAGAUCAUUCUUCCCCAACCCCAACAAAAAGGUCAUCAUCAGCGACAGUGCAACCAGCUUCUUCUUCCCCCUCAAUAUCUACUUCCCUCUGGACAACUACUGAGAAAGGGAAAUCCAGCUUCUCCACUAACCAGGACAACACUGCCUCUGAGUGAGUACCAGUGCUCCAGCCAGGGUCGCUUAUGGGUGCGUCUACACUGCAGCUGGGUGCGAGCUCCCAGCCUGGGUACACAGACUUGUGAUCGUGGGGCUUGCGAUAAUGUGCUAAAAAUAACUGUGCAGACAUUGGGGCCUGGGCUCUCAAGCUCACACUUGACCUCUAGGCGUGAUGAAAGCCCAGACCACAAAGUCUAAGCAUGUGCCCUGCCUGCUGGGAAAGCCAUGGGGACAUACUGCUGUAACCAUCCCCCUUCCUCAUUCAUUUCCCUCCUCACAGCUUGUUUCUCCCUCUUCCUGCACCACGUCUGAGAGUCUGCCCCUGCAAGCACAGAGGCACAUGGGCCAUUUGAGUCACAUGACUAGUCCCAUGGACAUCUAUAUCCUGGUCUAUACAAUCUAUUCCUGACAAGGAGAGUCAGCAAAGGGUGCAGCGAAUCAGCACUGAACAAGCUCCAACUGUAGACAAACUGCAAGAUCUAGAGCCAAAUUAUUUCAAACUAAGAAUUUUAAAAAUCAAAUGAUCUUUUCCCCCGUAUAUUUUGUUCGCUUUUUGAGCUCUGUGCAUCUUCCAGAAUGAAAGCCGACUGGUCAGUUUCACUUUUGCUUCUAAUUAGUUCCACUCCAGCCCAUGCACUGACUAGCAUAAUCCUGCGAGGUUUGAGUUGCCAGAUGCCAGCGCUGCAAGUGACAUCCUUACUUAUUUACAUUGGAAUUUAAAAUAAUGCAUGGAAAGAUCUCCGUUGGUCUUAGGGUUUUGUAAACAUUUUUACAACAUCUAAAUUUGGGACCAAAUUUGAGCUGAUGCUGUCCCUUCAAACAAAAUAAUGUUUCUAUCAGCUAAAAUUAAAAGUGGAUUAAAACUACAGAAUCCC